UUAACCUAAACUUAUAUUGGAAACAAUAUAACUAAGUAUUGGUUGAUACAACUCUAAAUUUUCAACGAUGGAUGUCUAGGCUCCCAUAACGAUGAAGAACGCAGCGAGAAUGCGAUAUGCAAUGUGAAUUGCAGAACUACGAAUCAUUUGAUCUUUGAACGCAAAUGGCGCUGAUUAAUGUCAGCAUACUUGUUUCAGUGUGCCUAACCAAAUCUACAACAAGAUGUAAGAGAAAAGUCUCUUAUGAAAUAGAUGCUCCAAGUAGCAUUCACAUUUAUAUGUGAGCUAUUCUGGCAGUCAAUCUGUCUUAUUCGCACCUGAAAUCAAGUAAGAUCACCCGCUGGACUUAAGCAUAUUACUAAGCGGAGGAGAAGAAAUUAACUAAGAUUGCCUUAGUAAGGGCGACUGAACCGGCAAAAGCUCGAAAUUAAAAUCGGAAAUUCAAAGAAUUUUCGAAUUGUAAUCAGGGUUGCCUAAAUACGGGAGGCCACUCAAGAGUCUCGAAAGGCUCGCCAGAGAGGGUGAAAGCCCCGUGCAGUGGUCUCUCGAACAAGGUAACUUGCACAAGAGUCGUGUUGCUUGGAACUGCAGCACUAAGUGGGAGAUAUGAUUCUUCCAAAGCUAAAUAUUGAUGGGAGACCGAUAGCGAACAAGUACUGUGAAGGAAAGAUGAAAAGGACUUUGAAAAGAGAGUGAAAAGAUCUGAAANUCGUUGAGAAGGAAGCGGUUAAAACUGAUCGAGGUCAUGAUGGCGCAACGCGGCCAAAAGUCGUGAAGCGUCUACCAAAAACCCUGGACAAAAUGAAUCUCUGCGGGCCAAAAAAGGCGCAAGCCGUGAAGGGUCUGCAGGGAUUGAGGGGCUACG
Molecule: ribosomal RNA, 865 nt
Filed under: Dileptus microstoma
Lineage: Eukaryota; Ciliophora; Litostomatea; Haptorida; Dileptidae
Description: eukaryotic LSU rRNA
Rfam family: Eukaryotic large subunit ribosomal RNA (bases 314-865)
Source: RNAcentral